Molecule: unclassified non-coding RNA, 242 nt
Filed under: Glomus sp.
Lineage: Eukaryota; Fungi; Glomeromycota; Glomeromycetes; Glomerales; Glomeraceae
Description: partial contains 5.8S ribosomal RNA and internal transcribed spacer 2
Rfam family: 5.8S ribosomal RNA (bases 1-65)
Source: RNAcentral
GUGAAUCAUCAAAUUUUUGAACGCAAAUUGCACUCCCUUCGGAGAGUAUGCGUGUUUGAGUGUCAGCCUCAAAAAAAUCGUCAUAGUCGCUGUUUCGCGGUGACAUUCGUCGGCAAUUGGGUCAUCUUAAACCUUUGGGUUUUAAGCGGCUUAAAAUUUUCUUUACGAGUCUACGAAAGUUUCUAAGAUUUACUUACAAGUUUAAGGUAUCGAUUUUUAUUUGUCCUCGCCGUUGCAUGGGU